GUCCCUGUAGCGCAAUGGAUGGCGUGUUGGACUUCUAAUCCAAAGGUCAUGGGUUCGAAUCCCACCUGGGAUG
RNAcentral lists this transfer RNA (73 nucleotides) under Trichonephila clavata. It matches the Rfam family "tRNA". From Rfam's summary of the family: Transfer RNA (tRNA) molecules are approximately 80 nucleotides in length. Their secondary structure includes four short double-helical elements and three loops (D, anti-codon, and T loops). The record is from Rfam by way of RNAcentral. Lineage: Eukaryota; Metazoa; Arthropoda; Arachnida; Araneae; Nephilidae.